UGGAAAGAUGAAUCAAAGAAGGUAAUAAUCCUGUAGUCGAAAAUGUUGUCUCUCUUGAGUGGAUCCUGAGUACGACGGAGCACGUGAAAUUCCGUCGGAAUCUGGGAGGACCAUCUCCUAAGGCUAAAUACUCUCUAGUGACCGAUAGUGAACCAGUACCGUGAGGGAAAGGUGAAAAGCACCCCGGAAGGGGAGUGAAAUAGAACCUGAAACCGUGUGCUUACAAGUAGUCAGAGCCCGUUAAUGGGUGAUGGCGUGCCUUUUGUAGAAUGAACCGGCGAGUUACGAUUUGAUGCAAGGUUAAGCAGUA
Molecule: ribosomal RNA, 310 nt
Filed under: Staphylococcus aureus
Lineage: Bacteria; Bacillati; Bacillota; Bacilli; Caryophanales; Staphylococcaceae
Description: partial 23S ribosomal RNA
Rfam family: Bacterial large subunit ribosomal RNA
Source: RNAcentral